This 2964-nucleotide long non-coding RNA is filed under the name Lactuca sativa (garden lettuce). RNAcentral's name for it is "long non-coding RNA (LSAT_LNC009668)". Lineage: Eukaryota; Viridiplantae; Streptophyta; Magnoliopsida; Asterales; Asteraceae. The record is from RNAcentral.
AACAAAUAUGAUUCUCUGUGGCGCGUAAUAUGGGCUUUAUUUGAGGUCCCACAUAUCAGCAACCAAUUGAAUCUAUAACGUGUUUUCUCAAAUCAAUUGCCUUAUUUUCCUCAGACCAUUGUUGCAUUCCAAAUUCACAUCCCAUACAACAUACUUUCUGUAUCCAUUUUACUCUCACAACAUUUUUUCUUCAAUUUAGUAAACAGGAGAAUUGCUUUCAUAUUAACUCUCCCGUAAAUCAUCUCCUCAAUUUGAAUUUGAAUUUUUAAUGAAGUAAAUUGAUAGAGUUCCCAUAUAUAGGCUCUAUUUUCGAGUCGUUAAUCUCUGUUGAUACGUGAGAUCCCAAUUUUUGUGGAACAAAAUGAAUUCCAUAUUGAAAUCACUCUAUAAAUUCGAUUACUGUUCUGGCUAUUAUUCACACCUUGGUUUUCUUCUUCAAUUCAUUUGUCAUCCAGGUUUCUUCUUUAAUCUGAUGUUCUUAAUUUUUAUUAAUUGUAUUCGAUUUUUUAUUAUCAUGAAUGUGUGGUGUAUCUGAUUGCCUUCUUAACCUUGCAUUUGAUGUUGCACUCUAUGUGUUUGAUAAAAUGCCCAUGAGAUAUGUCUUAUCAAAUACUAUUACACACUAUUGUCUGUAUUUUUGUGCUACUUACCACAUGUGUGUGUGUGUGUGUGUUUGUGAUUCCUAACUUUCCUGCAUUUUGUUUGGGUUAAAUCAUAAACUUGGUUAGCUUACUCAUCCGGGAAGAAAAGGAAGAUCAACUAUUUCAUAAAAAAAAGUAGUUGAUAUCUUGGAUAUUGUAUCUAUAUCAGCAUGUCUAUUUUUGAGCAAACCAUGGGUUUUCACUCUCAUUUAGUUUCUUUAUGCUAUAGUUAUAUGGUAAGAAAAGUGAUUAUGCUAAUAUUAACAUGUUGGUUGUUUGUGUGAUAGCUUGAACUUAUCUUUGGUAGGUAUUAUAUGUCAACUGAACCAAAUGUAGUGAAGGAUUGGGCUGUAUUUUAAGUCUUAAAGGAAUUUUCAGCCCUUUUUCUUUUUUGAACAGUUGUAAGAUAAAGGGUUAUUUGUUACUUCUAAAUAGAAAGGUACUUUCAACAAUAAUCUUUAGUCCAAAUAUCAAAUUGAAGAAAUGACUUUUUAUGUGAUUUUAGGUCAAAAAGUUCAUUUACUCUUUGCUACUUAGAGAUAGAUCAUUUGCGCUUAUUGGAUUAAAAUUUUGAUUUUUGACUUUAGAAAUACCAAGUUUCUGGACAUAACAGCUUAUGUGCAUGGCUAUAAGUAAUAUGGAGACACAAUAGGGUGGGGAAAAGUACACAAGGCCCAAAACUAUAGCAACAUAGUUUUCUUUUUUUACCUGAUCGUUAUAUAGUUUUCUUGAUGAACGUUUUUACAAGCACAUUGUCAAAAAUAAAGAGAAAUUUAUUUCCAAAUGUAAUGAGUUUAGUUCAAACCCUAUUUUAUUUCAAAAAGAGAAGAGAUAGUUGGUUGUUUUUUUAUUGCUUCUGUUUUCUUUUGGUUGAAAGUAUCAAGAAUUCAUUUUUAUAGUGUAUUUGUUAUAAGAAUGUGUUUGCUUUCAUAAUUUUUUCUUUAACAUGUUUUUCAGAUAGACACUCAAGGGAAAAAUGUAAUGAGUGCUUCAUCUUCUUGGGUGCCUAAGAAUGAGCUUCUACAGAUUUAAAUAUUCAUUGAUAGUAAUAUGGGAGAAUAAGACCAAAAGACCAAACCCGAUGUUUCUAUUAAGUAAGGUUAAUAUUUACCAUCUCAAGUUUUUCCCAUUUUUAUAAUAUGAGAACAGAUUGAUAAAUUACAUAAAUUUUUCAUAAUUUUGGUAUUUUCUCUAACCAUUUCAUAGGAGAUAAGUUAUUUAUUCAUACUUUUAUGAUUUUAGGGUUUUCUUUCACGAUUUAAAAAGAAACAAUUUGAAAUAAAAGUUUGAUAGAUGAUAUGUGUGUAAACUGUGGUUGUUUUGUGUAUGAAUUUGCAUUCCUGGAUUAGUUUUCUUAAAUUUCUUAUAUUAAUUUCUAAGAAAUAGAAUUUUAUAACGUUAGCAUGUUCAUCCUUCUUUUUUGUGACCUUUUUGGUCAUUUUCUCAUUCUUAUAUAUAUAUAUGAUUCAUAAUUUUGGCAUUCUUAAGCUAAAAAAUACUAAUAUGAAACUUUUAAAAUUAAAAGUUUGAUUUUUUUGAGUUUUUUAGUCAAGAUGACCAUUUUGACCUUUUUGUCCAAUUUGGUCAUUUUUACCGGUUUUAUUUUUUUAAAAUUUUUUUUCGUAAUAUGGUCAUUUUUGCUGAAAAUAGUCAUUUUGAUCAUUUUGCUUAAUCUGAUCAUUUUGACCAUUUCGGUCAAUUUGAUCAUUUUUUAUACAGGGACCAUUAAUGUCUAUUUUGUUAAACAUGGGCUAUUUAUACAAUAUUUUUAUAUACGGACCAUUUUUUUUAAAUUUAUUUAAAUAGGGAUUAUUCCUGUAGUUAAAUAUAUUUAAAACAGGUAAUAAUUACUUUCAUUUUUUAAGUUUAGCAAUGUACUUUUUAUAAUAAAAAGUAUGAUGUUAUAUUAGAGAUAAAACUGAAAUAUGUUGCUAUAUAUUGCAUUUAGCACAUGACCGAUUUGUCGUUUCUAUGAGAUACUAUGCCAAUAACACAAGUUUUUUUUUUUUUUUUUUUUUGGUUAGGUUCCUAAAGAACAUGUACAGAGGAGGAAAAUGACUCAAAUCGAUGUUUGCUUUGGUUAUACACCAAGUCAAGCUACCAUUUUAUAUAAUCUAAAUUAAAUUGAUUUAGACUUUAUUUUUUUUAGAGUAAGUUUAUUAAAAUUUCUUAAAAAAGACAACUCGUAAAUUACAUUCUAUAUGAAUUUUUAAACUUUUGUAGUAAUGGAACUAAAUGAUGCUUCUAUAUAGAUACAAUCCAAAUUAAAGUACUAUGUUAUUUCUUGCAUCUUACUCAACAAUGGGUUAUAAUUAAUUCCACG